CAAUAAGCGGAGGAAAAGAAACCAACAGGGAUUGCCCCAGUAACGGCGAGUGAAGCGGCAACAGCUCAGAUUUGAAAUCUGGCCCCCAGGGCCCGAGUUGUAAUCUGUAGAGGAUGCUUCUGGCAAGGCGCCGUCCGAGUUCCCUGGAACGGGACGCCGGAGAGGGUGAGAGCCCCGUACAGGCGGACGCCGAGCCUCUGUGAAGCUCCUUCGACGAGUCGAGUAGUUUGGGAAUGCUGCUCAAAGCGGGAGGUAAAUUUCUUCUAAAGCUAAAUAUAGGCCAGAGACCGAUAGCGCACAAGUAGAGUGAUCGAAAGAUGAAAAGCACUUUGAAAAGAGGGUUAAAAAGCACGUGAAAUUGUUGAAAGGGAAGCGCCUGUGACCAGACUCGCGCCCGGCGGAUCAUCCGGCGUUCUCGCCGGUGCACUCCGCCGGGCUCGGGCCAGCAUCGGUUCUGGUGGGGGGAUAAAGGCGGCGGGGAUGUGGCUCCCCCGGGAGUGUUAUAGCCCGCCGCUCAAUGCCCCCGCCGGGACCGAGGACCGCGCAUUUGCAAGGAUGCUGGCGUAAUGGUCACCAGCGACCCGUCUUGAAGCACGACCAAGGAGUCAAGCAUUAGGGCUAUUAGGGGGGGGGGGGAAAAAAACGCACGCGAAAUGAAGUGAAACGUAGGUGGGAGCCUCGGCGCACCAUCGACCGAUCCUGAAGUCUUCGGAUGGAUUUGAGUAGAGCCUUACCGCUUGACCGAAGAUGGUGACUAUGCUUGUGUAGGUGAGCUAGAGGAACUCUGGUGGAGGCUCGCAGCGUUCUGACGUGCAA
RNAcentral lists this ribosomal RNA (816 nucleotides) under Paramicrothyrium chinense. RNAcentral describes it as "Paramicrothyrium chinensis partial large subunit ribosomal RNA". It matches the Rfam family "Eukaryotic large subunit ribosomal RNA", at positions 44 to 896 of the family's 3401-position model. Lineage: Eukaryota; Fungi; Ascomycota; Dothideomycetes. The record is from RNAcentral.